CAACGUCACUACAACGGCAGCCGACCCC
RNAcentral lists this small RNA (28 nucleotides) under Bombyx mori (domestic silkworm). RNAcentral's name for it is "ovarian small RNA-4636". The record is from RNAcentral. Lineage: Eukaryota; Metazoa; Arthropoda; Insecta; Lepidoptera; Bombycidae.